AAGAAUCUGCCCUCCACUUUGGGAUAACACCGGGAAACCGAUGCUAAUACCGAAUAUUGAAACAUAAGUGGCAUCACUGAGUUUUGAAAGAAUUUCGGUGGAGGAUGACUUCGCGGCCUAUCAGCUAGUUGGUGAGGUAAUGGCUCACCAAGGCAACGACGGGUAGCCGGCCUGAGAGGGCGACCGGCCACACUGGGACUGAGACACGGCCCAGACUCCUACGGGAGGCAGCAGUGGGGAAUAUUGGGCAAUGGAGGAAACUCUGACCCAGCGACGCCGCGUGCGGGAUGAAGGCCUUCGGGUUGUAAACCGCUUUCAGUAGGGAAGAAGCGAAAGUGACGGUACCUACAAAAGAAGCACCGGCUAACUAUGUGCCAGCAGCCGCGGCAAUACAUAGGGUGCAAGCGUUGUCCGGAAUUAUUGGGCGUAAAGAGCUCGUAGGUCGUUUGUUACGUCGGAUGUGAAAACCUGAGGCUCAACCUCAGGCCUGCAUUCGAUACGGGCAAACUAGAGUUUGGUAGGGGAGACUGGAAUUCCUGGUGUAGCGGUGGAAUGCGCAGAUAUCAGGAGGAACACCAAUGGCGAAGGCAGGUCUCUGGGCCAAUACUGACACUGAGGAGCGAAAGUCUGGGGAGCGAACAGGAUUAGAUACCCUGGUAGUCCAGACCGUAAACGGUGGGCACUAGUUGUGGGAACCUUCCACGGUUUCUGCGACGCAGCUAACGCAUUAAGUGCCCCGCCUGGGGAGUACGAUCGCAAGAUUAAAACUCAAAGGAAUUGACGGGGCCCCGCACAAGCAGCGGAGCAUGCGGCUUAAUUCGACGCAACGCGAAGAACCUUACCAAGGCUUGACAUAUAGGGAAAAGUGGCAGAGAUGUCAUGUCCGCAAGGGCUCUAUACAGGUGGUGCAUGGGUUGUCGUCAGCUCGUGUCGUGAGAUGUUGGGUUAAGUCCCGCAACG
Molecule: ribosomal RNA, 960 nt
Filed under: uncultured bacterium
Lineage: Bacteria
Description: bacterial SSU rRNA
Rfam family: Bacterial small subunit ribosomal RNA
Source: RNAcentral